RNAcentral lists this small RNA (127 nucleotides) under Yersinia intermedia. RNAcentral describes it as "RtT sRNA". It matches the Rfam family "RtT RNA". Rfam says of the family: This family represents a bacterial cis-regulatory element known as RtT RNA. The exact function of RtT is unknown although it is thought that it may be involved in changing the cellular response in relation to amino acid starvation. Lineage: Bacteria; Pseudomonadati; Pseudomonadota; Gammaproteobacteria; Enterobacterales; Yersiniaceae. The record is from RNAcentral. RNAcentral also lists the same sequence under 1 other name.
AUGAGCCACUUAAGGGGAAGGUAAGAAUCUUCGAUAAGGUUCGCGCCGAGCGUAGCGAGACAACGACGCGCAGCGGCGGCCCGAAGGGUGAGGAACGAAGUGACGAAUAAUCCUUCCCCCACCACCA